AACGAACGCUGGCGGCAGGCCUAACACAUGCAAGUCGAGCGCGCCCUUCGGGGUGAGCGGCGGACGGGUGAGUAACGCGUGGGAACGUGCCCUUCUCUGCGGAAUAGCCUCGGGAAACUGAGAGUAAUACCGCAUACGCCCUUUGGGGGAAAGAUUUAUCGGAGAAGGAUCGGCCCGCGUUGGAUUAGGUAGUUGGUGGGGUAAUGGCCCACCAAGCCGACGAUCCAUAGCUGGUUUGAGAGGAUGAUCAGCCACACUGGGACUGAGAGACGGCCCAGACUCCUACGGGAGGCAGCAGUGGGGAAUCUUAGACAAUGGGGGCAACCCUGAUCUAGCCAUGCCGCGUGAGUGAUGAAGGCCUUAGGGUUGUAAAGCUCUUUCAGCUGGGAAGAUAAUGACGGUACCAGCAGAAGAAGCCCCGGCUAACUCCGUG
Molecule: ribosomal RNA, 433 nt
Filed under: uncultured bacterium
Lineage: Bacteria
Description: partial 16S ribosomal RNA
Rfam family: Bacterial small subunit ribosomal RNA
Source: RNAcentral